This 59-nucleotide transfer RNA is filed under the name Cricetulus griseus (Chinese hamster). It matches the Rfam family "tRNA", at positions 8 to 63 of the family's 71-position model. Rfam says of the family: Transfer RNA (tRNA) molecules are approximately 80 nucleotides in length. Their secondary structure includes four short double-helical elements and three loops (D, anti-codon, and T loops). Further hydrogen bonds mediate the characteristic L-shaped molecular structure. tRNAs have two regions of fundamental functional importance: the anti-codon, which is responsible for specific mRNA codon recognition, and the 3' end, to which the tRNAs corresponding amino acid is attached (by aminoacyl-tRNA synthetases). tRNAs cope with the degeneracy of the genetic code in two manners: having more than one tRNA (with a specific anti-codon) for a particular amino acid; and 'wobble' base-pairing, i.e. permitting non-standard base-pairing at the 3rd anti-codon position. The record is from Rfam by way of RNAcentral. Lineage: Eukaryota; Metazoa; Chordata; Mammalia; Rodentia; Cricetidae.
UGGCUCAGAGGUUAAGAGUGCUGGACUGCUCUUCCAGAGGUCCUGAGUUCAAGUCCCAG